UCAAGUAAUGAAGCGCACAUGGUGGAUGCCUUGGCAGUCAGAGGCGAUGAAAGACGUGACAGCCUGCGAUAAGCUUCGGGGAGGCGGCAAUAUCCUGUGAUCCGGAGAUUUCUGAAUGGGGAAACCCACCUAGCAUAAGCUAGGUAUCCUAAUUUAUUAGGAAGCGAACGAGGGGAAGUGAAACAUCUCAGUACCCUUAGGAAUAGACAUCAAUUGAGAUUCCCCUAGUAGCGGCGAGCGAACGGGGAGAAGCCGAUUAGUACUAAUGUAGAAGAACAGCGUGGGAAAGCUGACCGUAGUAGGUGAUAGUCCUGUAUUCGAAACAUUAGCAUUAACAUAUUAAGUAGAGCGGGGCACGAGAAAUCCUGUUUGAAGAUGGGGGGACCAUCCUCCAAGGCUAAAUACUCCUGACUGACCGAUAGUGAACCAGUACCGUGAGGGAAAGGCGAAAAGAACCCCUGUGAGGGGAGUGAAAUAGAACCUGAAACCGUGUGCGUACAAGCAGUGGGAGCCCACUUGUUGGGUGACCGCGUACCUUUUGUAUAAUGGGUCAGCGACUUAUAUUCUGUAGCAAGGUUAACCGUUUAGGGGAGCCGUAGGGAAACCGAGUCUUAAUAGGGCGUCUAGUUGCAGGGUAUAGACCCGAAACCGAGUGAUCUAUCCAUGAGCAGGUUGAAAGUGCCGUAACAGGCACCGGAGGACCGAACCCACUGUCGUUGAAAAGCCAGGGGAUGACUUGUGGAUAGGGGUGAAAGGCUAAUCAAACUCGGUGAUAGCUGGUUCUCCCCGAAAGCUAUUUAGGUAGCGCCUCGGACGAACACCAUUGGGGGUAGAGCACUGUUUCGGCUAGGGGGUCAUACCGACUUACCAAACCGAUGCAAACUCCGAAUACCGAUGAGUGAUAUCCGGGAGACACACAGUGGGUGCUAACGUCCAUUGUGUAGAGGGAAACAACCCAGACCGCCAGCUAAGGCCCCAAAUUCCUAGUUAAGUGGGAAACGAGGUGGGAAGGCAUAGACAGCUAGGAGGUUGGCUUAGAAGCAGCCAUCCUUUAAAGAAAGCGUAAUAGCUCACUAGUCGAGUCGGCCCGCGCGGAAGAUGUAACGGGGCUCAAACUAGGAGCCGAAGCUGCGGAUUUGAAUUUGUUUUCAAGUGGUAGGGGAGCGUUGUGUAAGCCUGUGAAGGUGUGUUGUAAAGCAUGCUGGAGGUAUCACAAGAGCGAAUGCUGACGUGAGUAACGAUAAUGCGAGUGAAAAGCUCGCACGCCGGAAGAUCAAGGGUUCCAGUCCAACGUUAAUCGGGGCUGGGUGAGUCGACCCCUAAGGCGAGGCCGAAAGGCGUAGUCGAUGGGAAAUCGGUUAAUAUUCCGAUACUUGUUUAUGAUGCGAUGGAGGGACGGAGAAGGUUAUGCCAGCCUGGCGAUGGUUGUCCAGGUGGAAGGAUGUAGGUUUAUAGCUUAGGUAAAUCCGGGCUAUUAUAUACCGAGAUCUGAUAGCAAGCUGUACUUGUACAGCGAAGUGGCAAAUACCAUGCUUCCAGGAAAAGCUUCUAAGCGAUAGUCAUAAACGAAUCGUACCCUAAACCGACACAGGUGAUCAGGUAGAGAAUACCAAGGCGCUUGAGAGAACUCUGCUGAAGGAACUAGGCAAAAUGGUACCGUAACUUCGGGAGAAGGUACGCUGCUGAUGGUGAAGGACUUGCUCCGUAAGCUAUUGGCAGUCGCAGAUACCAGGCUGCUGCAACUGUUUAUUAAAAACACAGCACUCUGCAAACACGAAAGUGGACGUAUAGGGUGUGAUGUCUGCCCGGUGCUGGAAGGUUAAUUGAUGGGGUUAGCGUAAGCGAAGCUCUUGAUCGAAGCCCCAGUAAACGGCGGCCGUAACUAUAACGGUCCUAAGGUAGCGAAAUUCCUUGUCGGGUAAGUUCCGACCU
This 1932-nucleotide ribosomal RNA is filed under the name Streptococcus pneumoniae. RNAcentral's name for it is "23S ribosomal RNA". It matches the Rfam family "Bacterial large subunit ribosomal RNA", at positions 3 to 1989 of the family's 2925-position model. The record is from RNAcentral. Lineage: Bacteria; Bacillati; Bacillota; Bacilli; Lactobacillales; Streptococcaceae.